Molecule: long non-coding RNA, 670 nt
Filed under: Homo sapiens (human)
Lineage: Eukaryota; Metazoa; Chordata; Mammalia; Primates; Hominidae
Description: non-protein coding LINC01778:13
Source: RNAcentral
ACUGCGCCCUUGUUUGGACAAGACGAGGAGGCGCACUCAGAGUCAGAGACCCCGGGGCAGAGACAGGGGCAAGAAGAAGGGGCCACCGAGACCCCAAGAGAGUCAGGGAGACAGACGCACCAAACGACCGACACAACCAGGGACAGGUUCAAGCAAUUCUCCUGCCUCAGCCUCGCGAGUAGCUGGGAUUACAGAUAUCCUUCGAGUUGGAUUUCGACUGGGUUCUGCCAGUGGGAUGUAUCCAUGCGAGAUUCUGGAACUAACAUCAGAGAGAGUCCAAGCUUCUAACUUUUAUCAGCGGCAGUGACAAUAGUCAAGCAGCAUUGAUGACAAACGGCAAGAGUUUAGAAAGUACCAGUGACGUGCCUGAUAGAAUCUCACCACAAGAUGGAAGCCAACUCGUCAGAAGCCUGGAAAGCCCACCCAGCGUGGGACCUCUGUGGGUCCAGGAUCUUGGAAUGGUAUCCCAUGGUUCAAUCUUCUGGAUUCAACCACAUAAAUUUACCCCACCCAUGUCGUGGACCCAAGCUUCCUACCAUGUAUACUUAGCUUAAAUGCAAGAUAGUACUAUUUUGUUCAUCUUGAUUGGAGUGAGAAAUGAAUAGGUCCAUGCACAUAUAUUUCUUUUACCACAACAAGAUGAUGAAGAAAUAAAUCCAUAAUAUCGAUA